Molecule: ribosomal RNA, 253 nt
Filed under: uncultured bacterium
Lineage: Bacteria
Description: partial 16S ribosomal RNA
Rfam family: Bacterial small subunit ribosomal RNA
Source: RNAcentral
UACGUAGGGGGCUAGCGUUGUCCGGAUUUAUUGGGCGUAAAGAGCGUGUAGGCGGCCUGGUAGGUCUGCUGUGAAAACUCGAGGCUCAACCUCGAGAUGUCGGCGGAAACCAUCUGGCUAGAGUCCGGAAGAGGAGAAUGGAAUUCCUGGUGUAGCGGUGAAAUGCGCAGAUAUCAGGAAGAACACCCGUGGCGAAGGCGGUUCUCUGGGACGGUACUGACGCUGAGACGCGAAAGCGUGGGGAGCGAACAGG